UAUGAAAUGAAAAAACUUCUCAACUUAUUUUCUACUUUAGGUUUCUUUCUGAAUCAUGAUUAUAAUUAUUAUGAUUUCUGUUGUUUUAGUCAGAUAUGAUGCAAAUGAAAAUCAAAUGGUGACAGACUUGUUUCAACAAAGGAGGAUUCUUAAACGUAGAUAUUACCUUGUGGAGAGAGCUAAGGAUGCUAAUAUUGUUGGGAUUUUAGUUGGAACUCUUGGUGUUGCUGGUUAUCUUCACAUAAUCAAUCAAAUGAAGGAGCUCAUAACU
Molecule: long non-coding RNA, 271 nt
Organism: Vigna unguiculata (cowpea)
Lineage: Eukaryota; Viridiplantae; Streptophyta; Magnoliopsida; Fabales; Fabaceae
Source: RefSeq, a predicted model, not a curated record